UACAGAGGGGGCAAGCGUUAUUCGGAAUUAUUGGGCGUAAAGGGCGCGUAGGCGGCUUGGCAAGUGGAAGGUGAAAUCCCUCGGCUUAACCGAGGAACUGCCCUCCAAACUGCUUCGCUUGAGACCGGGAGAGGUGAGUGGAAUUCCCAGUGUAGCGGUGAAAUGCGUAGAUAUUGGGAGGAACACCAGUGGCGAAGGCGGCUCACUGGACCGGUACUGACGCUGAUGCACGAAAGCGUGGGGAGCAAACAGG
RNAcentral lists this ribosomal RNA (253 nucleotides) under uncultured bacterium. RNAcentral describes it as "partial 16S ribosomal RNA". It matches the Rfam family "Bacterial small subunit ribosomal RNA", at positions 524 to 776 of the family's 1533-position model. The record is from RNAcentral.